GCUAAAAGAUGAUUUUCGAAAAUUGACAAGCAUAUGUCUGAUUCUGCAAGAAGAUACAUUUUCAGUCUGAUAGU
This 74-nucleotide small nucleolar RNA is filed under the name Yamadazyma tenuis ATCC 10573. RNAcentral describes it as "Candida tenuis ATCC 10573 Small nucleolar RNA SNORD27". It matches the Rfam family "Small nucleolar RNA SNORD27". Rfam says of the family: U27 is a member of the C/D class of snoRNA which contain the C (UGAUGA) and D (CUGA) box motifs. The record is from Rfam by way of RNAcentral. Lineage: Eukaryota; Fungi; Ascomycota; Pichiomycetes; Serinales; Debaryomycetaceae.